Molecule: long non-coding RNA, 37601 nt
Filed under: Vigna radiata
Lineage: Eukaryota; Viridiplantae; Streptophyta; Magnoliopsida; Fabales; Fabaceae
Description: long non-coding RNA (VRAD_LNC009712)
Source: RNAcentral
AAUUAAUUUUAAACAAACUAAGAAUGAUUUUUUUUUCCUUUUGUUUGUGCACUAAUACUUCUUUUAUUGAUUUUACAGAGUUUACUACUUGCCGGAACAGAUACAUCAGCUUUAACUUUAGAAUGGACAAUGGCUAAUUUAUUGAACCAUCCAGAAGUUAUAGAGAAGGCAAAAAAAGAAAUAGACACUCAUGUAGGAUCAAAUCGUCUUGUAGAGGAAUCUGACAUGUCAAAACUUCCUUACAUUCAAUGCAUUGUUUAUGAGACACUUCGAUUGCAUCCUGCUGCUCCAAUUUGGUCACCACAUUUGUCUUCAGAAGAUUGUAUCGUAGGAAAAUAUAAUCUCCCAAAAGACACAAUUGUGUUGGUGAAUGCAUGGGCUGCUCAUAUGGAUCCAAAAAUGUGGAGUGAGCCAACACACUUUAAGCCUGAAAGGUUUGAGAACGAAAGUGAAGUAAAUAGGUUACUUUCAUUUGGGUUAGGGCGGAGGGCUUGCCCUGGAUCAAACUUGGCUCAACGCACAGUUGGCUUAUCGAUAGCCUUAUUACUUCAAUGUUUUGAGUGGAAACGAAUUGGUAAGGAAGAAAUUGAUAUGUCUGAAGCAAAUGGAAUUACUAUUUCAAGAAAAAAUCCAUUGGAAGCUAUGUGCCAACUCCGUCAAUCACCAACAGUUAAGAAUAUGUAUUGAUUUAUGACGUUAUUUAAAUAAUAAACCUAUUGGUAAUUUAUGAAGAAUAAAUAUGUAUGCAAUAAGCAUUAUUUAAUCAUUUUGUAAGGGUUGAAGUGAAUGUAUCUCCAUUGUAUGUGAUAUCUUUUAAGUUCUACUUUUACAAUAAAUUAGUAAUUUUUUUAUAACAUUUGAUUACUCAUGCAAGUCUCUUACUCAUGUCAACUUAAUUAUUUUCUUACAAUUCAAAGAUCACAUUGUCUUUUGUCUUUGAUUUUAUCAUUCAUUAGCAUAGGUUGUCUUUGAUAGAUUGCAUUAUAUAUAUUUGUUUCAAUUAAUUUUUAGUUUUAUUUGAGUAUUAUUUGAAAUCACUGGUGUAUCGAAGGAAUAUGACAAUGAUUGUUUUGAAAUUAUGAAAGCAGUUUCAGAACUGAGGUAUAUUCAGAUGAGAUAAAAGGCGAGAUUUUUAACCUCGGUUAAAAAACUAACGCAUUAAAGGUUAUGAUUUUGCUUCGGUUCAAAAAAUCCGAAGCAGUAAACAAAAAAUAAUUAGGUCUUUUACCUUGGUUGGAUCCAGAACCAAAGCAAUAGAUCCCUUUUUGCCUCGUCGGUUGGAUCCAGAAUCGAGACAAUAAACGCUUUUCUACUUCAGUUGGAUCCAGAACUGAACAAUAGACCAUUUUUGGCCUCGGUUUUUAGCACAACCAUUGUCUAAAGUCCAUUUUUUUUUCGGACUUUAGAUUAUCGCACUUGCUUCUGUCAAUGUGCCAUUUAAGGUUUUUUUAAUCUUCUUUAACUAAAAACAAUCAUUUCAAUCUAGGUAUUAUAGGCAAGUACCGUAUCACCUCAGCAGGUGCACCAUCAUUGCCUUCAUCACCAUUUUCUAUCAAAUUUCCUUUUAAACCAUGAUAAACCACAUGUGGGACACAACUUUAGUGAAGCAAAAUUCUUUACGUACAAAACACAAUCAUUAGGAUAAGCAUGUAACUUUUGAUAUUCCAGACCCAUGGAACAUAAAAUUUUCUCCGCCUCGUAAUUACAGAAAGGUAGAGUGUUAUUUUCUGGAAGCAUCUCCUUCAACAACUCUAACAACUCUGUGAAACUUUUAUCAGUUCAUCCAUUCCUUGCGUUUAAACUAAACAACUUCAAAGUUGCAGAUAGACGUGCAAAGUUGGGGCAUCCUGGAUAUAACUCUUACUCUGAAUCAUUCUUAAAAGAAUAAUACAAAUUAGCUCUUCCAAAAUUUUCUUUACCAACAUCACAUAUCAUGUCUUCUAAAUGAUCACUCAACCAUUCUUCCACAUAAUUUGUUCCUCGCGAUGCUAUAGGCUUCUCUAGUACUUCUCCAUGCCAAGUCCAAACACCAUAACUUCUCAUUAUAUCGAACAUUAAUAGAUGGUCACACAUGUCUUAAAGUAUUUUAUUAAGACAACAAAAACAAGGACAAAUAUAUGACACAUUCAUAGAGUUUGUGUUUUGUUGAACUUAUUGCAAGAACUCUCAAACUCCCUUUUCAUAUUCUUGAUUGACGUGACGUUCAUUCAUCCAGCUUUGAUCCAUACUAUGUUCGUAACAAAUUUCAUCAGUCCCAAAUUUAUAACUUUCACAAGCUUAGGCCCUACCCAUCGAAAAAAUUAUUUUUCAUAAUUUUCUAACAUGCAUACAAAGAAGUCUAAAAUGAUAAAAGUGAUAAGAUUUCGGCAGCAUUUCACAUUGGUCUUUGAAAUACACAAAAUGAAAGUGGUCACGAAUGACCAUAAUCAAAUAUGCAUCCAGAGAACAAUACAAAUAAUCUUAACCGAAAUUUUAUCAAACUUUUCCAUACACUCCAACGUACAUGUUAUAGCAAAUUGUAAGGAAUAAUUUUUCCAAAUUGUUCGAUCGGACAAUUUCAAAUUUGAUGCAAAUGAUUAAAAGUUUAAUCAUUUGUGUUAAAUGUCUAAUAACAACUAAGUUUCACUCAAUAAUUUCAUAAUACUACAAGAAAUAUUGGAAUUACAUACGGAUAUUUACAUACGGAUUUAAAUCCAUGUGUAAUUUAAGUAUUACAUACGGAUAUUAUAUACGGAUUUUAAAAAUAGAAUUCCAUACGAAUUUUUAUAUACGAAAAAUCCGUAUAUAAAGUUGGCGCGUGAUGGUGGGAAAAUUACCUAAGGAUAAUAGUCGUAUAUAAUUCCCAUUAUCCGUAUGUAAUGAGAAUCAAGUGUUAACUAUCGAUAUUAUAUACGGAUUUAGAAAAUAAUUUUUUUAAAAAAAAUAUUUUUGAUUAAUUGGAAGCUGGUGAACAAUUUCACUCUCAUUCUAGACCCUCUAGCUUUCCUCUCUCCUUCUCCCCUUCCUUUCUUGUUCAAAACCCUUACCCUUACAAAUUUAAAUUUCUUUUUCCUUCACAUACCCUAACCUGCUAUAGAUUAUACCAAAGCUCCAUGUUUCAGUUUUCUUUUUCCUUGUUCCUGACAUGCAAUGUGUGUUCAAUUGAAGUUUUAGGUUCUACUCCUUAACAAAUUUUCACUCAAUUCGAUCUCGCUCACAAAGAAGAAGUUUGGUUCUUCUCACAUUCUUUGGAACCCUAGCCUAGCCUCCAUUGAAACCAUAGCCUCCACCGUAAAUGCCUCUUUCGCGUUAGCCCUCCCCUGGAACCCUAGCCCUCACCCCGUGCUCCAUUACAAGGCUGAGGUUACUAGAGACCGGUCGCAGCGAAGCGUUGGAGUGUCUCAAGGCCCACCCCUGUGGCGGUGUCGAUUCGAUGACACUGGCCCCAAAUCAAGUUAGAAAACCCUAGUUACGACAUUGUCUCUGAGGAUGAGUAGAUUGCCCUUGUCGACAAGCGUCACGAACAGACUCACUCCUUCAUAGUCGAUGAUGGGGGAAACAGAUAGGGCCAUGAAGGCGAGGAAGAGGGCUGGUCUAAGGUGAGUUUAUUAGUGAACUACAUAAAAGACGAGGAUUAUGGUCAUUACUGAAAUUUUCUUUUAGUUAUAUAAUAAUAUGGUCAUUAUUGAAAUACUAAAAGUUAAGUUUUCUCAUACCUUUGGUUGCUUAUUGAAGGUUCUCCAAAUACUAGAGGAUGACAUGGUGGUGGACAUAAAUUACAUCUUCACUCUAGGUUAUGAUGGUGGAAACCGAAGUGGAAGAAUGGUAAGAGCCAUUUCCAUUCCCUCGAAUAAUCAAUGCUUUGUCAUUUUUUAAGUUUUUAUAUCUUCAAGAAUUGAAUUUCAGACAUAGGCCUACUUUAAUUGCAAUACUUAUGUCAUUGACAAUUUUUCCAUGUUUGAUAAUUCCAUACUUUAAUUCUGGAGAAAGUUGUUUUCUUUUUUAUUUCUUAGGUAAUCCAAUUAUACAAAGAUUUGGUUAUCUCUAUUUUGACUGAAUCGAAUGUAAAAAUUUAUCUAAAAACUUUUGAAAUGUCAUAAUUAACAGAGUAAAAUUGAUUAGAUAAUGUAAGUGUUUAGCUACAUUUAAAGAAAGCGAAUAGGUACCCAAGCAACAAUUUAGUGCAAAAUCAGGUAAUCACCCCGUAAAAGUCGAAAAAGUCCCUAAUAUAUUAAUUUUUGUGCAACAUUUAAAGGGAAAGAUCAAGUGUGCCUUACUUAAGCUUAUAGAUAUCACUAUUUAGUUUUAAUCAAAUCUGGCAUUUUCUGUUGUAAGCAUCUUGAAGUCUACUUAAUUACAAACAAUGGAUAUUACUUGAUUUUGUCAUUUUUCCACCCAGAUGGUUGGUUGCUGAGCAUACUUUCCGGCCUCCAUAUUAUUAUCACAACUGUAUGAGUGAAUUUAUGAGCCUUAUUCACGGUGGCUAUGAGGUAUAUCAUAUCAAAAUUUGACUUAUAAUCACUAUUUGAUAGAAGAAGUAAAUGGUAAUAUGUAGCUUUAUAUGGGAAAAUAUCAAGAUUAGUUUUGCUGUCAGUUGAGUCAAAAUUUGGUCUUCUUUAAUCUAUGCCUAACACGUUUGUUUGUUCAGGCCAAGGUUGAUGGAUUUCUUCCUGGUGGUCCAAGUCUCCAUAACUAUAUGACUCCCCAUGGUCUUGAUACCAAGUCAUAUGAGGUAUGGUUUUUCCAAACAAUCACGCACAAUAUGAUUACAAGUAUAAAAAGUAAACCUCUAUUCUAAUGGGUAAGUUGGGCCUAUAACCCAUGUACCUACUCACAGUAGCAGGGGAAUUUUGUAGUUGUCACUGCCAUAUAUCUUAUUGCACAUCACAUGAGACUCUUUGUGCUUUAAGCAUAGAUGAAGGAAAAUUUAACUUAAAAAUUAAAUUGUUAGGAGAAAGCACUUGAAGGGUUCUAUAUCGAACACUAAUAGCAUAAUUAUCUAGAAUAAUAAACUUAGGAGAUGUAAUAGUUUUUAUGUUUUAUUUUCAAAGUUAUCCCAGGAAGUUGAUGAGCAGUAGUUAUUUUUUCUUAAGAUUAUUCCUUUGUUCUUUAUUCAAAUAGUGGAGUUAGAGCUUGUAAGGGGAGGGUUGUUAGAGAUCGAAGGGAUUGUAAAUGAAAUUACUUUUGGAGCAAAGUUACAUUAUUUUGAUUAUCUUUACUUGAUUCUUUACAAAUUUAAUCACAGGUCAUUAUUCUUACCAUCAGUUUAAGUUUAAACUUAAGAAAUUGGAUUGUGUCAUGUUUGAAAGUAAUUUGAUCAUAUUUAGUCUUAAAACUCUAUUUGAUCUUAUUGCAGGUUCUUGUCGGAUGGGUUGGCUUGGCCGUCUUAUUUGCACUUUGUUUCAUUGAAGCUCGUUUGAAAAUCUAGUAUCUGAGAUAUCAGUUUAUCAUUAUGAGUUAUAUAUUCAUAUUUACAAAUGUUUUCUCUAGGAUAGUCAUUAUGCUUAUAUGCUUGAUACGGUUGUGAUAUGAAAAGAAAAGAUAGUCUAUUUUCUAUUUCACAUUACUUUGGGAAGAGAAUAAAGUAUUCAAGAAAGUUGUUAAGAAAAACAGCGAAGUAAGUUUUGGAUCGUCCUCUCACCUAUUUAACUCCUAGCUAUUUGAAAGCAUUAACCAAUUCUAAAUUACUUGAUCAGGCAAAUUUUAUUCUUCAUGAUGGCCCUCCAUAUGGUAAUGGCGAUCUUCACAUAGGGCAUGCUUUAAAUAAAAUUUUGAAAGAUAUUAUUAAUCUUUAUAAGGUAUGUGUUUCGGAUGGAAGCGAGAUUACAAUAGACCUCAGCGACUCUGCUCUUUGUUCCUGAACUCUCGUAGUAGCUGGAACACCGAACGGGAGUACCUACAGGUUAGCACUCCAACGAUCAAGUCAGCAGAGUUAUUAUGAUGAUAAUAUUCAGGAAAAUCAAUCUAACCUAUUACCUGGACCAUGCUUGCCUAUUUAUAGAGAAAUAUAUCCACAAUAAUAGGAGGCACGUUACGCUUAGUCACGUGCUCCGUAUUUUUCUCCGCGAACUUAGCUGUUAGCUGUAACCGUAGUAGCAACCACUUCCUUCCAGAUAUUUACUCCGCCAUUUGCUCCGCUAAAUCCGCAAACUCUCUCCACUAACUUAACUAUCACUACUCCUUCGGUAUAAUCCUCACCCCGAUCUUCUUGGCNUGUUUCCCGAUCUUCCAAACUCUUCUGACCUUUUUCUUGUAGUCUUUACGCAAGUCACCGGCUAUCCUCUAUGAGUGUUUUUCUUCCUAUCGGCAUUAACUCAUUACCGAUCUUCCUCUUCGUGACCCCGAUCGACCUGAGCCAUCUAUAUUACAGUAUGUUUUAUUGUUAUCAUAAUGUAACAUUUAAAGCAUAUUUUUUUCUGUUUUGAUUUAUGUCUGAUACGUGCGACUUUAGGUAAACAUCAUCAUUUGUACAUAUGUUCUCUGCAAAAGGCCAAUCUUUUUGUUUAGUAUUUAAAAAUGGAAUCAUUAAAAUUAAUAGAAUAAUCCAUAGAGUACGAUAUUUUCUUUGAUUUGUCUUAAUAGUUCUUUUUUGGUUAUGUGGAAAAUGAUGUUUGACAUUUUAUUCCUUGUACAAUUAGCUGAACUGAAAAUGACAUUCACUUGGUUUCAAGCAGGAGGACCAUCUUAUGCAGUAGAGCUGGGAAGGCUAGAUAGGAGAGUUUCAGCAAAAGGAAGCGUUAGACACCAUAUACCUCAUCCUGAUUUCUAAGACCAUAUUCUCUUGUAAGUUGUGAAAAAUUUGAAGAAUAAAGCUUUUGAAGAUUACUUUAAAUUGAUAAUGUUCUACUUAGUCAAAAAUUGCCUUACCCAUUAUGAUAGGAAACAUAUAGGAGGGAAAUAGAAAGUUUUCUAACCUAUUUUCUCAAAAUAUCAGGAGUAUCUCGUCAGUGUUAACCCUAUUUGGAUCUUGCGACAGGUAAUUAAAUUUCCAAAACAUUAAAAUUUAGAAAAAUUGGCUCUUUAAAAUUUAGAAAAUGAAAAGUUAUAAUACUCAUUAAACUUUUAAUACAUUAAUCUUACUUUUCUUUUUCUUUUAUCAUGCUCAAUCCAAACCAUGUGUUAAGUUCAUUUCUAAUUCACAUUCUCUAUAUCCAAUUUUAAUUUAAAUUUUACAAGUUCUAUCUAUUUUCUGAAUCUUUAAAAUUAUCACUAAGGAUUAAGAGUCUAGUUGACAGAUGUUUUAAUUAGAAAUUAUAUAAAUGGUUUAUAUUUAGCCUUUUAUAUUUUAUAAUACCUUUCUAUUUCCCUCCUACAUUUCCUAUCAUGUCCCAAUCCCUCUUAACAUGCAAACUGAUACCUAAAAAAGGACUCAUACCAUCAAGUAAUCAAAAUACCUUUGUGCAAAUUGCAAUUGUAUUUAUAUACAUACUGUUGUAUAGAAGAACCUCCAACAACAUUUAAAUUACAUUCUACUAGAUUGGGUUACCUGGGCAUCAAUCUUGGCUUCAUUCUUCUUACCCUAACGCUUAUAAUGCUAUGAAUUUUAUUAAAUUCAUCUUAAUAUUCUUCUAUGUUUUGACCAUCUUAAUUGUUUAAUAGAGUUUGUCAACUUUAUGUAUGACCAACCAAUUGCAUUUAUUUUUGUCAGUCAUUGGCAUAUAGUGGUUUUGACCCACUUCCUCCACUCAGCACAAUCUAAUAAGGAGAAGGGAAAAAGCAAUAUGUGGUGAAGUUGUUAUCACGGUGAUGGAGUGCAACAAUAUCAACGCCCAGAUGAACAAAAUCCUUAGUGAUUGAUUAUUAGGAAGCUCUAGACUUGUCAUUCUAUGUUGUUUGACAUCUGAUGAAUUGUAAAAUUUAUAUUGUUUGGCAUCUUAGGAACAAUACAAUCUAUUUAUGAAUAUUAGAUAUUUUGUAAACUUAUUUUGAUAAUGAUUUUUAUGUAAUAUAUAUCUAUUUUAAAUGUGAAGUGUUUGAUAUGGUGUUAAAAAAAAUUAUUGUGAUUGCUAGUUGUAUGUAUAUUCCAAGUUUCAGAUUAAUGCAGGUUUAAUUGCUGAAUAAUUUUUUUCUGUCGUAUUUAAUUAUAUACGGAUUUUAUAUAUAUAUAUAUAUAUAUAUAUAUAUAUAUAUAUUUUUGUAUGUAAUUAUAUAGAGAUUUUAUAUACGGAUUUUUCCGUAUGUAAUUAUAUACGGAUUUUUCCGUAUGUAAUUAUAUACAGAUUUUAUAUACAGAUUUAUCCAUAUGUAAUUAUAUAUGGAAAUCUGUAUAUAAGUUAUAUACGGAUAUAUCCGUAUAUAAGUUAUAUACUGAUACAUCUGUAUAUAAGUUAUAUACUGAUACAUCCGUAUAUAACUUAUCCACAACAGUUUUAUAUACAGAUUUUUAUCCGUAUAUAAACCGUAUAUAACCAAUUGUUAUAUGCGGAUUUUGGACUUUAUAUACGGAUUUUGGCUAUUUCUAAUUCAAUUUUUUCUUUUAGUAAAUAUAUUCAAAGUUUACAUAACAUGACAAAACCUUUGAGACAAGAUAAGCUUGUCGAGUAAGAAAAAGAUUUCAGACAUUUCAGACGAAGAAAGAAAAGAUGACUAAGAAGUUGUCAGGUAAGAAUUUCGAUUUCUGAUAUUGCAGUUUCUUAUUCUUAAGCAUUUCAAUUUCGAUUUCUGAUAUUGCAGUUUCUUAUUCUUAAGCAUUUCGAUUUCGAUUUCUUAUAUUACAUUUUUUUAUUCUGAGUUUUAUUCUAUUUAGGUUUGUUUCUGAUUCGAGCUGUUCAUGUAUUUUUUAGGGAUUUUUAUGCUUUGUUUAUCUAUUUGUAGGUUACGACUACUUCAAAGACAUAGGUAUUCCAGCCAUAUGUACUUUGUUUAACAUGAAAUUGUGGGAAUACCUUCCUAUUACGGAAAUCUGAAGAAAGAGGAAGAAUGCAAACUCACUAUAGUGACAGUCGCUGCCUGUACCGCGAGAAUUUAAGCCUUAGAGGCCGAAAUAAUAGAGUUGAAACCGAAGAAGGAAAUUGUAGAGAAGAAGAUGUGAUUUGUGUUAGUAUAGAUUAGAAGUAUAGGAAUAAAGGUUAGUAUAACCAAUUGUGAAGUUUGACAACCCCCUUCUCUUCUAUUGUAUUUCGCUACUUUUGGUUCAUGAUAUAUUUUUUCAUUUAGACUCACGUCUGUUUGGUUGAAAGUAUAGGUAUAAAUGUUAGUAUAAACAAUUGUGAAGUUUGACAACCCCCUUCUCUUCUAUUGUGUAUCGCUACUUUUGGUUAAUCAUAUAUUUUUUCAUUUAGACUCACGUCCCUUUGCUUGAAAGUCAUGGUUAUCAUUUUUCUGACUUUGUUUUGGAUUUCAAAUAUUUACUUGCUGGAAAGGAUGAGCACGAACACAAGUUUUCUUCUAGACUAUAUUUAGAUUUUGUAAUAUAUUGUCUUCUGUUAUGUGCUUUUGUUAUUAUGUUCAUCAGCAACACAAAUAGGAAGUGGCUUUAAGCUGUCUUCGUUAGAAUUAACCGUACUCUUAUCAUGAUAAUUGUGCCUUAAUCCUAAAUUCUUCUUUUACCAUACAUUUCUAAGUUAUUGUAUACUUCAUUUGGAUGAAGCUGAAUCUUGUAGGUGAUAAUUUUGGCUCAGUGGUUUUUGUUUUACUAUACGUUCCUAAAUGAUAUAUCAUUCUUUCAUCAAUGCUUCAUUGGAAAAUAUUUGCAUUUGUUGUAACAGGUUUUGAUAUGUCGAAAUGAGGCUGAAAAGUGCUUAAUAGAAACAUCUAUCAAUUCAUUGCGGAUAAGUCUCAAGGUAUAUUUUUUCUUGAUUGUAAGACUAAUGUUUUGUUAAAAUGGUUUAAAAUUAAAUCUUGUCCCAUGGUUGUGAAGAUUGAUUUAGUAAAAUCUGAGAAAAUGUUUCCAUAAUAUCUAACAGCGUCUAGUCUUAGUUUCACGUCUGGUCUACUAUAGUGUCUAUGAGACUAGAACUUCUUAUGUGGGUGCUUAUGACCAAAUGUGUUAUAUUGUCCACGUCUCCUAUUUGUUCAGUUAUAGCACGUGUACAAUGUUAGUCUGGUUGGUAUUGCUCAUAAUUAAGUUAUUGUCAUCUAAAUUAAGAAUAGUAUGAAUUCCGUAUACGUUAAAUUAAGAUAAUAUAUAUAUAAUUUUAAUUUAAAAAUUGGCGUGCCAAAACAUUUGAGACAAGACAAGCUUGUCCAGUAAGAAAAAGAUUUCAGACAUUUCAGACGAAGAAAGAAAAGAUGUCUAAGAAGUUGUCAGGUAAGAAUUUCGAUUUCUGAUAUUGCAUUUUCUUAUUCUUAAGCAUUUCGAUUUCGAUUUCUGAUAUUGCAUUUUCUUAUUUUGAGCUUUAUUCUGUUUAGGUUUGUUUCUGAUUCUAGCUGUUCAUAUAUUUUUUAGGAAUUUUUAUGCUUUGUUUAUCUAUUUGUAGGUUACGACUACUUCAAAGACAUAGGUAUUCCAACCAUAUGUACUUUGUUUAACAUGAAAAUGUGGGAAUACCUUCCCUACUACGGAAAUCUGAAGAAAGAGGAAGAACACAAACUCACUGCAGCGACAGUCGCUGCCUGUACUGCGAGAAUUGAUGCCUUAGAGGUAUCUAGAGCAGUACUUGCAUAGUUUGGCGGAAGAGGAAAAGUGAAAAACAUUUAUGGAUGUAUUGGCUCUUAUCCUCUAUGGUGUCAUGUUUUUUCCUAACAUCGAGAAUUUCGUCGAUCAUGCCGCAAUGAAUGCAUUCGUGGGAUACAAAGAACACUCUGAGAAUCCAGUCACUGCUAUCCUAGCUGAAGUUUAUGGGACCCUUAAUCAAAGUUACGAGCUAAAAGGAGGAAAAAUUUUAUGUUGUGUACUAGUGUUGUAUGUAUGGUUCGUCUCUCGGGUGAAUGAGAACACAUUGAAUGCCACAUGUCCUGUGGAUGAGCUACUGUAAUGUAAACCAAAUAUGAAAGGGACAAAUGAAUGGGCGCAACUCUAUGCAGGUUUAAAUGUGGAGCAAAUUAAAUGGAAUGUCCUUUGACUGCAAAGAUCGCAAAUCAUAUAUUAUUGCAGGAGGUACCCUAAAGGACACGGACCUGUGGAAAAAUCAUGGAGAACCAAAGAGAAGUUCAAGAGGGGAUGAAAGCUGAUAUCCAACAACUACAAGAGCAAAUGAGCCAAAUCCUAGAGGCCCUAAUGCCUUACAAGGCCCUGUAGAUCCGUGUGCAUCGCGAUCGCAACAAAGAGCAUCAAGGGCACAAACUUUCCCUCCUUAUGGUCUUCCUUCGAAUUACACUCCAACCUUAGGAGCGGACUUGGGACAUGUUGACACUCAAAAGGCCGAAGAUAACGCGGUUAAAGUAGAAGACAAGCUCGGGGCAGCCACUGCUCUAAUUCAUGAGGAGACAACCCAGUCAGGCAUGGCGGGCGUGAUAAUGACAAAACAACUCGAGACAAAGUCUUCACCUCAUGUUGUUAUGCCAACAGAGUUUAAGGACAACAACAGUGAACUAGAAAUGCUGGAGAAGAGGUUCAGGGCCAUAGAGGGCCAAGGAAGUUUUGAAUUUGGAGAUGCUAGAAAACUAUGUUUGGUUCCAGAUGUGGUGAUACCUCCAAAGUUCAAGUUGCCAGAUGAUAAGUUGUCGUUGAAGCUAUCAAAUUAAUAUUACUUUUCAAGACAACUUCAGUAUUGCCUAGUAGUAUUCAAGAAAAUAGAUAGGGCUAAAGUAACCCUAAGUCGUCUCCCAACAAACACGGAAUUGCUUUCGAAUAUCUGAAACUUAUGAAUGCUAUGUAAUGCUUAAGAACAAAAGUGAGGAUGUUUAAAGGUUGUUGUAAAACAAAUAGAAAACUUAAAAACAAUUAUAAAGAAACAGGCUAAUUCCACUACUUUUCCAAAAUAGAUUCAUCAUCGGUUAUUCACAGAUCAUUGUUCAAUUGAUUAUUGUUUAAGUUUCAAAUUAAUUAAAGUACAUUCUUAAUUAAUUUGAGGGCGAUCAUGCAGUUAAUCAAAGUACAUUCUCAAUCAAAUGCAAGACCUUUCUAGAUUAUUCACAAUAAAUUCAACCAAAGUACAUUCUCAAUCAAGUUUAUUGUGUUUAAUCAUGUCUAUUCUUAAAUCUCUUAACCAAAUUAAAAGUUAAUCAAUCAAAGUAAAUUCUCAAUUGAUUUUAGUCGAAAUUAUUACUACCAACCAAAGUAUAUUCUCAAUUGAUAGUAAAAACCAUUUAAUCAUAUGAAAGUUCCUAAAUUAAAUCAAAGUAGCUUCUCAAUUAAACCUAGAAAUCCUAGAACUCAUAUAAUUAAUAUGCAUGUAGAUUCAAACACAUAAUGAUGCAAAAAUCUUUGGUUUUAAUAUGAUAGAGAGAUGAAAGACAUAGAGAGAGAUAAACUUAAAUCAAUAAUCAAAAUAAACAAUUGCAUUAAUUCACUUAACCUCAGAAUCCAUAAUGAAAUUACAGCAGAAUAGCCCUAGGAGCUUAGAAACACAUAAUGAAAGAAAAGUGAAAGCAGUGGUGGAUGAAUGAAUGAAUGAAGCUCCCCUGGGUCUCUUUAUAUAGGCUUGCUUGGGCUUGGACUCUGAAUAUUCAGUUGAUAGAAUCUUUUAUCUUAUAUCUUCCAAAUAACUAAAAGAUUUAGAUAAUUAACAUUACUUGGAAGAUAUUUUCUGUUGAUAUAAUUAAAUUAAUUCAACAACUGAAUUUUAUCUUUUAGCUUUUCUGAACUUUCCAAAAUUACAUAACAACCCCUAAAAUUUCCUCUAUCUGCACUUAAGCCCCUUUUUAAUUUCUGAAAUUGCACAUUGCCCCCUGUUGACCAGCUUUGACCAGACUGAAGCAGUGUUGACCAGCUUUGACUCAUAUGGACGCAGCCAUUGAGAAUCAAACACGUGUCAACCCCUUUUCUACCCCAAAAUUAGGGUUUGCCAGAUUGGGGAAAAACCUUGCUCCUUCCCCUACGCUGCGCCGUCAUGCAGGGAGUGAAGAACUCGCAUGGUUUCUUCAAGGCGCGAUUGCUUCUGCGAUUGCUGGGUUUAUUGCAGGUCUAGUUUUGAUGCAGGUUCUGAUGCGGUGAUGGAGGAGUCGCGACGACCAUGGUGCGAAUUGGGUUUCUGAUAGUUGCGGCCUUGACGGAUGAUGAUGGCUGCACGAUGGUGGAGAAGUGAUGCCUCUCGCAGAUGAUGGAGGUGCUGCUAUGGUUGCACGACGGCUUGCUGGUGGCUUUGUUGGAGAAGAAAUCGCGAUUCUGGCGAGGGAGAUGAUUCGAAUCUACUAGGCUUGCGCGAUAAUGAGUUUGUUGAGUUGUGCAGGUGGUGGCCGUCGUUGAUGGAGGAUGGUGGCGCUGAGACUGAGGCAACGCUGGGUUUCUCGGUGUUGAUGGUGGCCGGCGAGACCGUAGCUGGUUGCACGAUGUCGCUGGGUGGCUGCCAUGGAGGAGGCGGCGGCUAGGGUUAGGAAGAGGAAUUAGGGUUUCUUCUGUGGAAGAUGGUGAUGACGUGGCAAGGGUGGUGAUGUGGCAACAAGUCAUUGGCUGAAUCUGUGUGUGGUGGAUUGACGACACGUGGCAACAUCUGAUGGACUCUGGUUUAGGAGGGGUAGGAAUAGGAAACUUAGGAGGUGUAGGAGAAAAGGGUUACUGUUGGGCUUCAGUAUUGGCUUGUGUCGCAACCGGAAAAUCGCGACGGGACGACGAUCCAAAAAUAAUUAAUAAGUUUUGGAAAAAAGUUUUGGAGUCGCCACCAUAGUUUAUUUUGGAAAACUACGGAAAAACCGUAAAAUGAUAAGGCAAGGUCUACAAAACCAAAUUCUGGUUUCGGAAGUCGGUUACGUGUGGGGAAGGUGUUAGCACCCCCACAACGCCUGCCCUAAGGCAGUACCUUUAACUAAAUACGCAAACGUGAUGUGGUUUGCAAAAUGUUUAAUUUCCCCUAAAAAUAAAACUCUAAAGAAAACAAAAUAUUUUUUUGUGUUUUUUGUGCCCGACAAGGAUUGACCUUGCUCCUACGUAUUCUCAGUUGGACUGAGAAAUCAGGGUUACGUAGUUCUUUCGAAUUAUGUUUGGGUGAUUGUUCGAAAAUAUGAUGUUUUAUAUUAAAGAAAAAGAAAAAANGAUUUUCGACACAAGGCUGACGCGAAUGGUCGCACGUGUGCUUAAACCUUUUAAAAUAUUUUUAUAUUUUGAAAGAAGGAGGAAAAGGUUUUAACACAAGGCUGACGCGAAUGGUCGCACGUGUGCUUGAACCUUUUAAAAUAUCCUUGUAUUUUUUGAAAGAAGGAGGAAAAAGUUUUAACACAAGGCUGACGCGAAUGGUCGCACGUGUGCUUGAACCUUUUAAAAUAUUUUUGUAUUUUUGAAAGAAGGAGGAAAAGGUUUUAACANNNNNNNNNNNNNNNNNNNNNNNNNNNNNNNNNNNNNNNNNNNNNNNNNNNNNNNNNNNNNNNNNNNNNNNNNNNNNNNNNNNNNNNNNNNNNNNNNNNNNNNNNNNNNNNNNNNNNNNNNNNNNNNNNNNNNNNNNNNNNNNNNNNNNNNNNNNNNNNNNNNNNNNNNNNNNNNNNNNNNNNNNNNNNNNNNNNNNNNNNNNNNNNNNNNNNNNNNNNNNNNNNNNNNNNNNNNNNNNNNNNNNNNNNNNNNNNNNNNNNNNNNNNNNNNNNNNNNNNNNNNNNNNNNNNNNNNNNNNNNNNNNNNNNNNNNNNNNNNNNNNNNNNNNNNNNNNNNNNNNNNNNNNNNNNNNNNNNNNNNNNNNNNNNNNNNNNNNNNNNNNNNNNNNNNNNNNNNNNNNNNNNNNNNNNNNNNNNNNNNNNNNNNNNNNNNNNNNNNNNNNNNNNNNNNNNNNNNNNNNNNNNNNNNNNNNNNNNNNNNNNNNUAUUUUUGUAUUUUUGAAAGAAAGAGGAAAAGGUUUUAACACAAGGCUGACGCGAAUGGUCGCACGUGUGCUUGAACCUUUUAAAAUAUUUUUGUUGAUUUUUAUAUUCAUAUAUUUAAAAAGUAGAUAAAAAAAAUAAUAAUAAAAAAUAAAAAUAAAAUAAAAUAAAAUAAAAUAAAAUAGAAUUAAAAAUUUAAAUCAAUAAAAUAAAAAUAAAAAGAUAAAAUAAAAUAAAUAACAACAAAGUAAAGAAAGAAAUUGCAAAGGUACUUAAAUAAGAAAAAAGUCUAGGUUAUUUUUCUUUUUAAAAACGAACUGGGCCUAAACCCAAGCANAGAGGGGUGGUGCCAGUAANACUAGGGGUGCGGAAGAAGUUUUUUUUUUAUAACAGACUGGGCCUAAUCCUAGACAGAAGGGGUGUCAAGAUGGGAAGUGGGGUGUGCAAGGAAAAAGGGUUUUUUAGCCAGAUUGAACUUGAGCCCAAAGGAAGUGGGGGUGUGAGAGCUAAAGCAGAGGGUGCGAAAAGGGUUUUUCUGUUGCUGCUUUCUUUUACUUGACCCAAANAGAAAAUCAAAAUGAAGACAAAGGGGGCUGCGAAUUGGAAGAAUAGGGGUGCAAAGAGGAACGNUUUUUUAUUUCCUUUUUUUUUAAGUUGAAUCAAAAGGCCCAAGGCCUGUUUGCUUUCUCAGAUCUGAAAAAGAACCUUAGGGGUUCUCAAAUCCUAAUCCAUUUCAAACAAAAGUGCAAUCCAGAGUCUUCACUUUCUCCUCCAUGAACGAGAAAACCUAGAGGCAACCACCACUNACUCUGCCUCUACCUUCGUUCAGUUGGCCNGCCACCGUGACGGACCCCAGCUCCGUCCAAGGCGUCGUNGGCGGNCGAACACCGCCGGAGCUGCUGCCAUCGCGAGCCGUGACGCAAAACCCCUCUUUCCCUUUCCUCACGNGAGAACAGGGGAGCGUUGUAUUUCUCUCCUUCAACCGACCACCACCGAGAGCCUCCGCCGUCGCGAGCCGCCGUUACAGAAACGACAACCCUUCGUCGGACCACCACCUUGCCCUCUUUUCCUUCGCGCGAGAGGAAGACGAACCCACCUUCUNCAGUGCUUCCAAACGAUUCGUGCCACCAGUCGCCGCCAUCGGACCAUGAGCCAAGGUCGCGCCGGUGAUACGACUUGCUAUUGGAGCCGUCGUCACUCGAAACGGAAGCCGCCAUCACCGCGGCCACCGCCAACGUGAUUCCACCGUUUUUUUUGAUCGGAGAAAAACAGCCAUGGAGGCUGAACACCGGUUUUGCUGUUCUAUUUCUCUUUCUGUUGCGUUUUUUUGGCUUAUUGAUUUCAAUCUCAUUGUUGCUGUUUGGAGAUGGACAAAGGCAUGGAGGGUAUAGUUACAUUGUCACGGUUUGUGAUUGGUUAAGGGUUUUUGGGUUGUUUCUUCUUGCAGGGAAACGGGAUUGGGGAUUUCGGUGGUACAAGUCAAGAUUGAUGGUGGUAAUGGGAUUGCAUAUGGAGAAACAUCAGGUUACAGAUUUGCGAUAAAGUACUUCGAUGUUAGGAUAGAUGAAUGACCUUGGGAUGGAAGAUGACUACAGCAUAUGUUACUGCAAAGUUCACAAGGAGACCCACGGCUUGCAAGGAGAAAAAGCAAUUUUUGUUUCUCUAAAUGUGAUUCUGCCUAUGUCUCCUUCUUAGUACACGUUUUUCUGGGAUGAGUAAAAGGGUAUUUGAUGUGUUGUUGUUGGGCCUACUUGCUUAUGUUCCAUGAUGGAUUUUGCAGGUAUUGAAACUGUAUUUUGGGUGCAGUUCUUGAUUGCCAAAAGAUAUCACAAAGAAAACGAACAACCAUAUACACGCAAUUUUCAUUUAUAUUAUAGGCAUGUAACAUAGACAUAUAACAGGGAGCAUGUGACAGAGCAGCAGACAUUCAUGUGCGACCAAGAGCUUAGAGAAAACAACUUACCUCCGCGGCUUCAGGGAACUGGUGAAAUCAAAUGGUUCUCCUCUUCUCUGGCCGUGAGGUGCUCUGCCCGAGUGGCGAUGAUCCGUGAUGGCAACGGUAUUGGGUCCCCGACGUUAUCUGAUGGUGAGUUGGGANAAGAUGAAUGGCGUUAGUACCGGAGGUCUAGGAGUCAAGAGCUCUCUUGAGCUUUGAUGGUUCGGUGUUAAUGUUGAUGGUGGUGAGUUCCCUCUGUAUUCUGGAUUGUGAGUAAUGAGUUCGAAUAAUGGUGCUCCUCUUCUUUUCUUGUGGUUUUUUCUCUCUUCUUAUGGUGUAUGAAAAAAUGUUCCCCUUUGAAUGACUGUGAUCAAACCAUUUUGAAAACCACCAAGCUCAUUUUCUGCUGCACUGCUUCCUGGAGCUCUGGCAUAUCCUCUGGCGUAGGAUUUUCUUUUUUGUUUUUUUUCCUUUCUCCAUGUUUACCUUCUGCCAGUUAUCAGUUGGACUCAUUUUAAAAUCUUUCCACUUUGAUCCUACGUAGGGAAUGUUAGCAAGAAGAUCCAGGGCCUUUCCUCACCGCAGAGCAUAUACACGUUUUUGGCUCAACUGUGUAGCGUAGGAUAGUAACAUUGUCUGAUAUUUGUGUGUUGUAAGAAAAAGCUAAGUUGACCUUGAUUUUGUUUUUUUCUCUUUUUUUUUUUCUUUUUGGCAAAGAGUGUCAGUGGAAUGGAUAUACGUUUACUACUUAAGAAGACAACCCCUUUUUUAAGUUUAAAAUAAAGGGAAGAAAUCAAAGGGAACAAUAAAAUGGUAAAACAUAAAGGUAAAAUAAACCCCAAAAAAAAAAAAAGAAGAAAAAGGUAAACUAAAGAUAAAAGAAAUAAGUAAAGAAAAAAAAACGAGACACAAUAAAUUAGAAAUAAAAUAAAAAGGAAAAUUAAAAAUGAUGAAGGCAGCAAAUAAAAAUAAUCGAAAAAGAAAUAAAAACCCCUUUUUUUUUAAAACAAAAAAUUAAANAAGGCUGACGCGAAUGGUCGCACGUGUGCUUGAACCUUUUAAAAUAUUUUUGUAUUUUUUGAAAGAAGGAGGAAAAGGUUUUAAAACAAGGCUGACACGAAUGGUCGCACGUGUGCUUAAACCUUUUAAAAUAUUUUUGUAUUUUUGAAAGAAAGAGGAAAAGGUUUUAACACAAGGAUGACGCGAAUGGUCGCACGUGUGCUUGAACCUUUUAAAAUAUUUUUGUUGAUUUUUAUAUUCAUAUAUUUAAAAAGUAGAUAAAAAAAAAUAAUAAUAAAAAAUAAAAAUAAAAUAAAAUAAAAUAAAAUAAAAUAAAAUAAAAUAGAAUUAAAAAUUUAAAUCAAUAAAAUAAAAAUAAAAAGAUAAAAUAAAAUAAAUAACAACAAAGUAAAGAAAGAAAUUGCAAAGGUACUUAAAUAAGAAAAAAGUCUAGGUUAUUUUUCUUUUUAAAAACGAACUGGGCCUAAACCCAAGCANAGAGGGGUGGUGCCAGUAANACUAGGGGUGCGGAAGAAGUUUUUUUUUUAUAACAGACUGGGCCUAAUCCUAGACAGAAGGGGUGUCAAGAUGGGAAGUGGGGUGUGCAAGGAAAAAGGGUUUUUUAGCCAGAUUGAACUUGAGCCCAAAGGAAGUGGGGGUGUGAGAGCUAAAGCAGAGGGUGCGAAAAGGGUUUUUCUGUUGCUGCUUUCUUUUACUUGACCCAAANAGAAAAUCAAAAUGAAGACAAAGGGGGCUGCGAAUUGGAAGAAUAGGGGUGCAAAGAGGAACGNUUUUUUAUUUCCUUUUUUUUUAAGUUGAAUCAAAAGGCCCAAGGCCUGUUUGCUUUCUCAGAUCUGAAAAAGAACCUUAGGGGUUCUCAAAUCCUAAUCCAUUUCAAACAAAAGUGCAAUCCAGAGUCUUCACUUUCUCCUCCAUGAACGAGAAAACCUAGAGGCAACCACCACUNACUCUGCCUCUACCUUCGUUCAGUUGGCCNGCCACCGUGACGGACCCCAGCUCCGUCCAAGGCGUCGUNGGCGGNCGAACACCGCCGGAGCUGCUGCCAUCGCGAGCCGUGACGCAAAACCCCUCUUUCCCUUUCCUCACGNGAGAACAGGGGAGCGUUGUAUUUCUCUCCUUCAACCGACCACCACCGAGAGCCUCCGCCGUCGCGAGCCGCCGUUACAGAAACGACAACCCUUCGUCGGACCACCACCUUGCCCUCUUUUCCUUCGCGCGAGAGGAAGACGAACCCACCUUCUNCAGUGCUUCCAAACGAUUCGUGCCACCAGUCGCCGCCAUCGGACCAUGAGCCAAGGUCGCGCCGGUGAUACGACUUGCUAUUGGAGCCGUCGUCACUCGAAACGGAAGCCGCCAUCACCGCGGCCACCGCCAACGUGAUUCCACCGUUUUUUUUGAUCGGAGAAAAACAGCCAUGGAGGCUGAACACCGGUUUUGCUGUUCUAUUUCUCUUUCUGUUGCGUUUUUUUGGCUUAUUGAUUUCAAUCUCAUUGUUGCUGUUUGGAGAUGGACAAAGGCAUGGAGGGUAUAGUUACAUUGUCACAGUUUGUGAUUGGUUAAGGGUUUUUGGGUUGUUUCUUUCUUCUUGCAGGGAAACGGGAUUGGGGAUUUCGGUGGUACAAGUCAAGAUUGAUGGUGGUAAUGGGAUUGCGUAUGGAGAAACAUCAGGUUACAGAUUUGCGAUAAAGUACUUCGAUGUUAGGAUAGAUGAAUGACCUUGGGAUGGAAGAUGACUACAGCAUAUGUUACUGCAAAGUUCACAAGGAGACCCACGACUUGCAAGGAGAAAAAGCAAUUUUUGUUUCUCUAAAUGUGAUUCUGCCUAUGUCUCCUUCUUAGUACACAUUUUUCUGGGAUGAGUAAAAGGGUAUUUGAUGUGUUGUUGUUGGGCCUACUUGCUUAUGUUCCAUGAUGGAUUUUGCAGGUAUUGAAACUGUAUUUUGGGUGCAGUUCUUGAUUGCCAAAAGAUAUCACAAAGAAAACGAACAACCAUAUACACGCAAUUUUCAUUUAUAUUAUAGGCAUGUAACAUAGACAUAUAACAGGGAGCAUGUGACAGAGCAGCAGACAUUCAUGUGCGACCAAGAGCUUAGAGAAAACAACUUACCUCCGCGGCUUCAGGGAACUGGUGAAAUCAAAUGGUUCUCCUCUUCUCUGGCCGUGAGGUGCUCUGCCCGAGUGGCGAUGAUCCGUGAUGGCAACGGUAUUGGGUCCCCGACGUUAUCUGAUGGUGAGUUGGGANAAGAUGAAUGGCGUUAGUACCGGAGGUCUAGGAGUCAAGAGCUCUCUUGAGCUUUGAUGGUUCGGUGUUAAUGUUGAUGGUGGUGAGUUCCCUCUGUAUUCUGGAUUGUGAGUAAUGAGUUCGAAUAAUGGUGCUCCUCUUCUUUUCUUGUGGUUUUUUCUCUCUUCUUAUGGUGUAUGAAAAAAUGUUCCCCUUUGAAUGACUGUGAUCAAACCAUUUUGAAAACCACCAAGCUCAUUUUCUGCUGCACUGCUUCCUGGAGCUCUGGCAUAUCCUCUGGCGUAGGAUUUUCUUUUUUGUUUUUUUUCCUUUCUCCAUGUUUACCUUCUGCCAGUUAUCAGUUGGACUCGUUUUAAAAUCUUUCCACUUUGAUCCUACGUAGGGAAUGUUAGCAAGAAGAUCCAGGGCCUUUCCUCACCGCCAGAGCAUAUACACGUUUUUGGCUCAACUGUGUAGCGUAGGAUAGUAACAUUGUCUGAUAUUUGUGUGUUGUAAGAAAAAGCUAAGUUGACCUUGAUUUUGUUUUUUUCUCUUUUUUUUUUCUUUUUGGCAAAGAGUGUCAGUGGAAUGGAUAUACGUUUACUACUUAAGAAGACAACCCCUUUUUUAAGUUUAAAAUAAAGGGAACAAAUCAAAGGGAACAAUAAAAUGGUAAAACAUAAAGGUAAAAUAAACCCCCAAAAAAAAAAAAAAGAAAAAGGUAAACUAAAGAUAAAAGAAAUAAGUAAAGAAAAAAAAACGAGACACAAUAAAUUAGAAAUAAAAUAAAAAGGAAAAUUAAAAAUGAUGAAGGCAGCAAAUAAAAAUAAUCGAAAAAGAAAUAAAAACCCCUUUUUUUUUAAAACAAAAAAUUAAAUGAAAUUAGUCUCCACUUNUUAUUAUUAUUAUUCCUGACCCUAAACAUUUUUAUUUGACUAUCCGGACGAAAUUGGGUAUUGACAGUUUGAUUUAGAACUGAGGGGUGCAUGUAGGGAAAUAUGGGGGUGCAAGAGUAAAGAUUUCCUAUUUGGCCCAUCUGGACAUUAUUUUUCAAAUAAAAUCUGAUUUUGGGCUUUAAAUUGCAAUUUGGACCAAUAAAACUCUAAUUUCAGCUGCACAAAUAAAUAUUAGAACAUCCAAGAAUAAUUUAUGCAAUUAAAAUCACUUUUUAAGCCUCUUUAGUUCCAAAACCCAAUAAUUCAACUUCACACUGAUUCACUUUAAAUCAACCAUUUAAGCAUAAAUAUCUUAUCAAAAAUUUGAAUUUUAAAGCAUAAAUGUGGGCAUAAAUAUUCACUCAUCACCAGAGUUUGAGAAAUAUAGGGGAAACACUUGCCCAAGGAGCCACAUAACCAUGUACUGUAGAAAAAUGGUGGCCCAUGUUCACGACGAAAAACUGUUGAUUCACUUCUUCCAAGAAAGUUUAACUGGCGUAGCUCUAAAUUGGUACAUGCGCUUAGAAACAACGCACAUCAACACAUGGAAAGAUCUGGUUGAUGCAUUCCUAAGGUAGUAUGAAUAUAAUGAAGAUCUAGUACCUGACAGAGUACAACUGCAAAACAUGGUGAAGAAUGAGUCUGACAUUCAGAGAAUAUGCCCAAAGGUGGAGAGAAAUUGUUGCUCAAGUAGAACCGCCUCUGAGUGAUAAGGAGAUGACUACCAUAUUUCUGAAUACUCUACAACCACCAUUUUAUGAGCACAUGAUAAGCAGUGUCUCUUCGAGUUUUGUUGAUAUAGUAGUAAUUGGAGAAAGGGUUGAGGGUGGCAUAAGAAAUGGAAAAAUUGCACUAGAUCCAAAUCUGGUGGCGAGUCUGAAUGAGUAUGGUCUUGGACAGGAGGAAAAACGAAAGCAAAAGGCUAAUUCGCAUUUUACUGCCUAUUCCCAGAUGACGCAUUCCUAUGGGUCCAACCGAGCCAUUAAGCAAACAACUUACAACCGGAAUGAGAAGGUCGUCAAUUUCACUCCUAUCCCCAUGACCUAUACGGAGCUACUGCCAGAUCUUCUCCGCAAUAACCUCAUAGAGGUUUGUCCCACCAAGCGUGUACGACCUCUUUACCCAAAGAACUAUGACAUAAAUGUCAGGUGUGAUUAUCAUGAAGGAGCGCGUGGACAUUCAACAGAAGCAUGCAAGGCUCUAAAGCAUAAAGUGCAAUCUUUGAUCGAUUCAGGAUGUUUAAAGUUUGAAGAAAGUCAAUCCAACACUAAGGCAAGGCGUGAGUUUGCCUCUACAAACGCCAUGGACAAAUGAAGAGGACUCUAGGACUAUAUCGGAAAGCAUGGAUUACGGUAAAAAGUGAAACUGAUGUUGUUUUGCUCUGUUUUGAAUUGUCUUGCUAUAAGGGCUAUUGAUAACUCUCUAAAUUUGCAUUUAUAAUUGUGUUUAGGAGUCUUUCUUAGCUUCUUUUAUUCUUUAAUUGUCUAGAAUUAGGAUAGUUUUAGGUUUUUCUUUAAAUUCUUUAGUUUUGUAUAAAUUUAGUUAAAAAUAGAUUUUUAGUGUAUUUUUUUUAGUCUUUGUAAAUAAUUAGGAAAUUAACAUCUUUUUUAGAAAAUCUUUUGAUAAAAAUUCUUUCUUUUAAGUGAUAAAUUUUCUUUUCUUUAAAUUUUGAAUUGAUUUCUUUUUUUUUUAUCUUUGCUGCGGAAUAAGUCUUAAUAAGUUGGGUGAAAUGAUAUGAUUGGGCCUUUGAUGCUGAAUAGAAGAACUGGGUUGUUGCUGCUGUUUGACGCACUGCUGCUGACUGGGAUUAAAUGAACUGCCGCUCUGCACUACAGAAAUUCAAUUGGGCUGGAUAAACACUUGGGCCCUAGAACGCUGAACUUGAUUCUAAAUUGCACUGCUGCAGCGUUGUUUAAUGAAGCGGUGUUGAACUAAAGUAGAGCAUUGGAUUGGGCCAACUCUCCUUUAAUGAAACGAUGAGUUUUAUGUCUUGGCAGUGGAAGCUUUUGGGGGUGAAUGCUCGAGACAUAUUCAUUUGGCAGAGAAGAGAAUACUCUCUUGGGGGCGUUGGAGAAGAAAGAAAACCCUCGACUGAGGGCUUGGAGUGAGAAGCUGGCGGAGCUGAACCGGUGAGAGAGAAGAGCUGACCGGAGUGCCACGUGGAGGAUCAAAUGACUGGAAGAGCAAGCUCGAAGCAAAUGAACAGUGACCGUUGGAUCAAGAGCAGGAAGCGUCCAGAUGAAGGUUUCUCUUUUCCAGAUUUUUUCUUUCCUCGCUCUUAGUUUUGGACCCUAUAUAAAGGGAUUAUUGUCAUGUAAAUAAAGAGUUUUUUUUUUUUUUACAGAGUUGGAAAUUUUACAUACUUUUGAUUUCUCGAUUUGUUUAGAAUAGAGAGAGAUCGCGAUUUCUAGGGUUUCAUCACAUUCUUCGGUAAAACUCAAGUUCUUGCGCUCUCGCUCAAUUCUAUUCAAUACAUUUUCAUUUUUUUCAUUGUUCUUUGUUCUUUGUUAAUAAUACUCCCCUUCGUGUUGUUUCUGUUGAGUGUUUGUGAUGUGAUUGCGUUCUUUUCAAUGUUUUCGUAUUCUCGUGUGCGUAUGUGAAAAUUUUGAUUUGGAAAUUGCUUUGAACUCGCAUCUGCAUAUUAUAAAUUUCUUUUUGGAAUUAUACGACCCCGAGGUGGGCGUAAGUGACCGGGAUGUCUUCCCGAGCCAGAUGAGUUCAAUCCAUAAAAAAUAUUUAUUUUCAUGUUGUUUUUUUUGUUUCUGUUCGUUCAUGUUAAUUAGGUUUUGUAUAUUUUAGGAUAUUGAUUAGAAACAUGAAUUAGAUUUAGAUUCAUUGUGAAUUUGAUGAACUGAGUGAUGAUUAUUGACUUUUAAGUUCUAGAAUUGAGCUUUAAAACCCAGUGAUGGGCUUAUUUUACCAGGAUGUCUUCCUGACAUAUAAUAUACCACUCGGUGCAUUGAUUUCAUAUGAAUUUGACUUUAGUUUUUGAUUCAAACCAAUUUUCCUUGUUGAUUCUGUGAUUUCUUUUAUUUCUUUUGAUUGUAAUAUUUUCUGGUAGUUGAUUUGCAUAUAUGAUAGUUUGAUUUGGUACUGUUUUAAAUAUGUUUAAUUCAUUUAGUUGUUGAUUUCGGUUUUAAUGGAUAAUACUGGCAUGAUUGUUUCUUAUUACUUAUGUUUAGAUUGUACAGUGUAGGUUUCUAUCUUAGGUAGUUUAGCUUUCUAUUCUCUUUUAUUUUUCCUUUUUAGUUCAUAUUCUUCUUUCUUUCAAAUAGAAUUCAAUUCAGUUUUAAUUCUUGUAUUUUUAAUUUCAUUCUUUUAGUGUCCCCACCUUGUUUCAUAAUAAAUAAUUAGUAAAUAAAUACAAGAUUUAACCCUACACUUUAAUCUUAAUUUUGUCGAGUCCUAGGAUUGAUAUUCUGGUCAUCCCUAUGCUACAUUAGUGGGGACCAGUACUUGUUCUCUUUUUGUGCGACCAAAUAUGAGUUUAACAGCUAUGCUCAUUGAUAUUGUGCUUUCAUCUAUGACUUUUAAUGUGAACUUUCAUUACGCGGUUUCUCCAAGGUUUACUGGAAAUCAUGUCCUAAUAGGGUGUCGUGGACAAAACAAAAGCCGCAAAUAACAAAAUUGAAAAACAAAAAAUGGAGGCAAUCUUGAGUCGCUUGUCUUUCUUGCAAUUCAUCAAAGUCUUAUUUUUCAAAAAUAGAAAAAAAAAUGAUGAAAAAGAUGAUAAAAAAACAAAAGUUGUAAUGUCAGACUUUUCCGAGGUCAAAUGUCUAAAAAACAAUUUGACGUUUCCUUUUUAGACAUUUAUGCACAUGUUGCUUGAAAAACCUUCACCCUUCACCUUCCCAAAAUAAAGGAUCUUCCCCAUCAAACACUGUCGCUGCCCUUAGUAACAAAGUAAACCUUUACACUAGGGUAGAUUGGUCUAGCAAAAAUUUUCUCGCUUGCGCUAGUGGGAUGAUCCCUGAAUCCAUUGAGACAAACAAAAGAACAAAAGAAUUUUAAAAAACAAAAAAAAAGAAGAAGAAUAAGUCUGCUAGAUUGAAAACCCGAAAAGGCAGUCUAGAAUAGUGAAAGCAAAAGAAAAGAAAAAACGACUCAUGUUGAGGUCAUCUAGCCGCAGAGUUAAUCUUUUGAAAAUAAAGCAAUCAGAGUUCAAAAUGAUGUGUGGCCUUCUUGACUUUAUCUAAAAAGCAAAAAAAUAUAUAUAUCCAUUGUCACCCCAUUUGAGCCAAAAAUAAAUUCUUUUUCAAAAUCAUCCCCAAGCAAGGGUUGUCAUCAGGUAGGAGUCAACUCAUGAUGCAAAUGAAAAACACUCAAUGAUCAAACAAAGAAAAAUCAUCAAAAAAAGGUGAACAAAAAAAAACAAAAAGAAAUCACAAAGUGAUGUUGAACAAAGAAUGAAAAUCAAAGUUCAAGAAAAAAAAUAAAGUGUUCAAAAAGUCAAAUAGUUGAUCCAAUGUCUAGAUGAUAACCCUUGCUUCAAAAAAAUAUACCCGACAAACAUUCAUUUGGGCCUUUACACCUUUUCUUCUAAUACCUUUUAGCCCCUAGCCACGUUACAAGCCUAAUAAAGUCUAUACAGAUUGGAUAAAGUUUGCUCAAAUUUUCAUAAAGCUUAAUUUUGCGAUAAGGCGAAAUGACUUUCAAUGUGUCGUAAAAAAAAAGUUGAAAAUGAAUGGACGAAAAAAAAUGAAUGAAAAAAAAUGAAAAAAAAGUAAUGUCUCGGGAAGAGGGGACCUCCUUGUAAACUAGCCAUAAGCAUGCAAAAAGAAAAAUCAAACCAAUUGGCGGCCAUCCUUUUAGCCUAUCCUUUUCAUGCACAUUACCUCUGUCAAACAAAACCCUGUGCCAAAGAAAAGACUGGGGCAGCUUUGUUAGUCUCAUACAAAUUUUUCAUCAACCGAUGAUCCCAAGACUAGGGCAGAUUUGCAAGUUUCAUUUGAUUUGUUCACCCUAAUUUUCAUGGAUCCAUACCCCUAUGCUCAGUUUCCCAAACACUAAACUGGGGCAAAAUUUUUUGGUAUAUCGUGUUUUGUCUUGACACUCACAUAUUACAUCUCCGUCAAGGAGUGUAUGAGGAAUGAUGUGCCCACAUGGCUAUCCUAGUCUUCUCCAAACCCUCCUAAACAUCUCUCAUAUUUCACCUACCAAUUCAAGCAUGUGUACACUGAUGUCUCGAAAGAAAAAGUCAAAAUGCAAUAAUCUCAAAUUUAGAUCUCGAAUAUAUGACAUUACUCAGUCUUCACAAAACAUUGAAAAGACCAGUUUGAUGAUUGCAAGUAAGAUGACUGACUCAAGCAAAAAGAAAUGCAAAACAAAGCAAAUGUUUUUCAUCAAUCCAUCAAAAAGAAAAUCUUUCGGAUCGAAACCCUCUUCACUCAUAUGAAUGGUUAUCGAAUCCUUCUUCAAAAAUACAAAAAAAAAAUGAAAAUGACAUUCAAAUUUUCUCUUUCAAGUGAUGUUGUUUCUUAUCGAUUAUGUUUUUCUCUCAUAUUGGGGUUUUGACACAUCGUGAUCCUGCAUCAAGAUUUUGACACUUCGUCAUGAAGGGUUUUAACUCCUUGUUGCUUUUCAAAAAUCAAAUUUUUGUCGAAAAUCACCAAAACAUUUCACAAAAGUCCAGUUUCAUCUGGCAAUUUCAAAAUUUCAAAAGCCCAGUUUCAUCUAGCAAUUUCAAAAUUUUAAAAGCCAAGUUUCAUUUGGUAAUUUCAAAAUUUCAAAAGCCCAAUGUCAUCUGGCAAUUUCAAAAUUUCAAAAGCCCAGUUUCAUCUAUCAAUUUCAAAUUUUCAAAAGCCUAGUUUCAUUUGGCAAUUUCAAAAUUUCAAAAGCCCAGUUUCAUCUGGCAAUUUCAAAAUUUCAAAAGCCCAAUUUCAUCUGGCCAUUUCAAAAUUUCAAAAGCCCAGUCUCAUCUGGCAAUUUCAAAAUUUCAANNNNNNNNNNNNNNNNNNNNNNNNNNNNNNNNNNNNNNNNNNNNNNNNNNNNNNNNNNNNNNNNNNNNNNNNNNNNNGCCAUUUCAAAAUUUCAAAAGCCCAGUUUCAUCUGGCCAUUUCAAAAUAUCAAAAGCCCAGUCUCAUCUAGCAAUUUCAAAAUUUCAAAAGCCCAAUUUCAUCUAGCCAUUUCAGAAUUUCAAAAGCCCAGUUUUAUCUGGCAAUUUCAAAAUUUCAAAAGCCCAGUUUCAUCUGGCAAUUUCAAAAUUUGAAAAGCCCAGUUUCAUCUAGCAAUUUAAAUUUUUUAAAGCCCAGUCUCAUGUGGCAAUUUCAAAAUUUCAAAAGCCCAGUCUCAUCUGGCCAUUUCAAAAUUUCAAAAGCCCAGUUUUACCUGGCCCCCGAAGCCCAGUUUCUGGCCCACGAAGCCCAGCUCGCCUGGCCCAAAAGCCGAGUUUCCACACUUGCCCAUAAACCCAGCUUGCCUGGCCCCUAAGCCCGGUUUCACACUGGCCCCUAAGCCCAGUUUCACCUGCCCCUUAAGCCCAGCUUCGCCUGGCCCAUAAGCCCAGCUUUGUCUGGCCCCUAAGCCCAAUUUCACACUGGCCCCCAAAGCGCAGUUUCACAUUGACCCCUAAGCCCUGUUUCAACACUAGCCCAUAAGCCCAGCUUUGUCUGGCCCUUAAGCCUAGUUUCACACUGGCCCCUAAGCCUAGUUUCACCUGACCCAUAAGCCCAGCUUGCUUGGCCCCUAAGCCCCGUUUUCACAUUGACCCACAAAGCCCAGCUCCCCUGGCCCACAAAGCCCAGUUUCUACACUGGCCCCCAAGCCCAGUUUCUACACUGGCCCCCAAGCCCAGUUUCGCAGUAACCACAAACCAAGUCAGAUAAUCCAAGCUAGGUCCCCUUGCUCUGUUCAUCUUAAGAUAACAGCAAAGGAGUCCCCCCUUUGCUUUAGAGCGUUACGUUUGAGACUUCCCCCAAUCCGCAGGGUGCGUGAGUCGAAAUUGCGGCCCUUUGGUGGCAGUGGCUACAAUUACGAAGAGGAGAAAAGGGUUUUCCUUGCUGGUAACUCACAGUGGUUGUGACCUUUGGUGUUGGUGGCGUUGUGGCUUGCGUCUCAGGCGACUGGGCUCGCUCGAAGUGGAGCCUCUAGCCUAGUGCGAGGGAGAGAGAGGAAGAAGAUAUCGUGGCCGACCGUGAUUCUGGUGGCACCUACCGUCGACGGCGACGAUGCAACCGAAGAAGGUGGCGGCGCGGUGGUUGGAUUCGAAGAAGUGGUGGUGCGGUUGCGUAACCCUAGGCUAGUGCGAGAGAGCGGGUGGCUUGUGGCCGGCGAUAGUCGCCAGUGACACCUUGGACGGAGCAAAGGUGGCUCGUGGCUGUCACUCACGAAGGCUGGGUUGGUGAUCGUGGGGAUGGGGUGGCUUGUGCUCAGAGAGAAGAAGAGACCCUAGGUCUCGUGUGAUUUGAACAAGAAUGGGAUGAAGGGGGCAGACCCCUAAGGUUUCUGAAUGCGAAGAGCCAAACCCUGGGCUGCUGGGCCAAACCGAAGAACAAAAAACAGAUUUCUUUUCUAUACCCUUGUUUCCACUAAGUCACACUCCCACCCUCUUUGGGCUUAAGCCCCUUCGUUUUCUAAAAAAUAAUAACAAGAAAUCCUUUCUGCACCCCACUCCGUUUGGGCUUCCAUAUCCAUUUAACCUAUCAUUUUUGUUUGCUUCAUCAUUUUUAUGAUUAGUUUAUUUAUUUUUAUUCCUAUCUUUUAUUUUUAUUUUUAUGUUUAUUUUUUAUCUUUCUUUCUUUAUUUUUAUUUUGAUUUUUUUAUUAUUAUGUUUAUGUUAUUAUUUUUCGGGUUAAAUAUGUUUUUAGUCCCUAUACUUUGGGCGAUUUUGGUUUUAGUCCCUCUUUCAAACUAAGGUACAAUUUAGUCCUUCAACUUUAGAAAACUCUGGUUUUAGUCCUUUUUACCAAAUUGUUUGAACUUUAUUUGUUGUUUCAAGCACGUUUCAUUAUAGCAUUUGGAUUGUUUACACUGUUUGACACAUUUUUGCUUCAAUGCUAACUGAGAAACGCGUUUGAAACAGCAAAUAAAGUUAAAAAAAUUUGGUAAAAAGGACUAAAACCAGAGUUUUCUAAAGUUGAAGGACUAAAUUGUACCUUAGUUUGAAAGAGAUACUAAAACCAAAAUCGCCCCAAAGUAUAGGGACUAAAAACAUAUUUAACCCUAUUUUUUUUCUCGUUUUAAAUAUCUACCUACUUUUUAAUAUAUAAACAUUAUCAAAAAUCAUAAAAAUAUUAUUUUAAAAGGUUAAGGAACACAUGCGACAAUUCUGUCUGUCUUGUGCUGAAAACUUUUUUCUUCUUCUUCGUAAAAAAUAAACUAAUAAAAUUUAUUUUAAAAGGUUUAAGCAUACGUGCGACCGUUCUGUCAGCCUUGUGCUGAAAACAUUUUUCUUCUUCUUCUUUCAAAAAAUUAAUAAAAAAUUAUUUUAAAAGGUUUAAGCACAUGUGCGACCAUUCUGUCGGCCUUAUGCUGAAAACCUUUUUCCUCUUCUUUCAAAAACCACCAAAAAUUUAUUUUAAAAGGUUUUAGCACAUGUGCGACCAUUCUGUCGGCCUUGUGUUGAAAACCUUUUUCUUCUUCUUACAAAAAAUCAACAAAAAUUUAUUUUAAAAGGUUUAAGCACAGGUGCGACCAUUCCGUCUGCCUUAUGCUGAAAACCUUUUUCUUCUUCUUUCAAAAAUCAACAAAAAUUUAUUUUGAAAGGUUUAAGCACACGUGCGACCGUUCGCGUAGGCCUUGUGCUGAAAGUCUUUUCCUUUUUUCUAUAAAAAUACAAAAAAUAUAAAAUCUUCAAAAACUAAAAACAUCUUCGUUUACAAACAAACAAUCUCUCAACUAGAACUACGUAACCCUGAUUUCUCAGUGUGACUGAGAAUACGUAGGAGCAAGGUCAACCCUUGUUGGGCACAAAAAACAAAAAAAAAUAUUUUGUUUUCUUUAGAGUUUUAUUUUCUAGGGAAAAUUAAACAUUUUGCAAACCACAUCAAAUUCGCGUAUUUAAUUAAAGGUACUGCCUUAGAGCAAGCGUUGUGGGGGUGCUAACACCUUCCCCACACGUAACCGACUUCCGAAACCAGAAUUUGGUUUUGUAGACCUUGCCUUAUAAUUUUAUGGUUUUUCCAUAGUUUUCCAGAAUAAACUAUGGUAGCGACUCCAAAACUUUUUUUCAAAAUCGUUUCUUUUUUGGAUCGUCGUCCCGUCGCGAUACCGGUUGCGACAAUGAUUAUGAAAGGGGGUUAUGAUUUGUUAUUGUACCGAUUAUCCGCUGUCAUUAUAUUGAUUUUAGUGUUGAUCUUAGUUGUUUAUAGGAACCUGAUGAGACUAAGUUGUUGUUAUGAUAUGAGUGGACAUUGUAUAUGAUUUUGGGUAUUGAAUUUGGAAGAUAUCUGAUGUUGGAAAUGAAAUUUGUAGAGUUAGGACAUGAAUCCUUGAAGUUUGAGAGUAAUUUUGAUAUUUGUGAUGAUUAAGGAUGAAUUUCAAAUGUCUAGAAAGUCUGUAUGUUUAAAGGAAACAUCAAAAUAGACCAGGAAAUGAAUUUUCGUGAUUCUAGAAUGGUGAAUUCGCUUGAGCGAAUGAACCCACUCAUUGAAGCGAGUGAAGAACUCGUUGGAGCGAGCUACGCGGGGUAUAUUAAGUGUUUUUUAUGUUUUGGGGGUUCUUAAUGUCUGUUUUGGAUGUUCUUUAGGUCGUUCUUGGGGUUUUUGACCCUUUCGGAGCCAAUGGUGAAGGUUUCCAAGGAUUUUGACUUAACUAAAUAAGGAUAUCAAAAUGUCAUAAAGAAAUCUGUGUUGAUAUGUGAUAUUUUUAUGUGAUAAUAUGCCAUGUAUGAGUAUGAGUGAGUUAUUUUUUUGAGAUGUGGUUAAUGAUUGCGAUAUAUUGUAUGUUGACAUGUGUAUUUAUGAAUGGAAAGAGUGAAAAAGAGUUCAAAGGAGGAACUUUUUAUUGCUUGUAUGUCAAGUGUUGUAUGUAUGAAUGUAGGAGCUUCGACUUAGGGGUUCAUUAUGACGCUCUCAAUAGUCUCAAUCUCACAUAGAGAAAGAGCUAUGUGGAGGAGAGUGAGAAAUCCUUAUCCGAAGAUCAGUAUUGGGAUAAAGUAGGAAAGGACAUAGCUCUAGUGGUCGCUUGGAUUGAGCUAACAGGUACCAGUACGAGUAUAGAACCCGCUAAGAGUUCAACAUUCAUACGAUUAUCGAGAUGAGUCAAGUCCAUGAUGAUUAUGAUAUAUAUAUAUAUAUAUAUAUAUAUAUAUAUAUAUAUAUAUAUAUAUUGCAUGAUUGAGUUAUUUGACUAGUAAGUUUGGAAUUAUGUUAUUGUUUUAAAUUUACCAUGAUUGUUUUCUUUUGCAUUAGUUCACCCUUGCUUUGUCUGUUGUCUGGUUGUAUCUGUAUCAUGUUUCUCUUGGCGAUGAUCAUCCGGUGGGUGUGAGCAGAAGGUGAUGAGAUACUAGUGGAACAUGCUUUAGAUGAUAGAGCGACCGAUGUUUAGUUCUCUAUGGACAAGAUUUAUAUUUUUGUUUCUAUUUUAAGUAGGACUGUAUUAAGUUUAAAAUUUUAGUGUAGUUUGUAUAAUUAUGAGGAAGACUUUUAUUCCUCCUUUCGUCAACUGUUCUAUUGUAUCAAUGAUGUAAGAACUCUAUUAUAGUUUAACGUUUAUAAUUAUUGGGAUGUUACAAUAGGAAUUUACAAAAAAAUUCAGAGAAAUAAAAUGAAUAGAGCUAGAUACGCUUUAUAUUUAAAUUAUGUUAAAAUGGAAACCCUAACCAUGAGAAAAAAGAAAAAGAAAAUCUUAGAGCCAUCAAAAUGGGUCACAACCCAUGAGCCAACCCGACUCACCACGGGUUCGGGCCGGGUUGGGUUUGAAAAAAUUGAAUUUUUUUUAUGCGGGUCAGAUUUCAACCCGGCUCAUUUAAACCCGGCUCAUACGGGUUGAACCCGUGGUGGGCCGGGUUGGCCCGCCAAUCCACCUACCUAAUUUUAUUUUUUAAUUUAUUAUUUUAUUUAUGAAACCCUAAAAAAUAAAAUACUCUCUUCACUCACUGUGUAUACCAAAAAAGUAACCUUUGUUCUCACAAAUCACUCUCACGGAACUUGCUCUCAUUUAUCGUGCUGUCACUCUCACUUCUUCACUGAAAUUCUUCAAGGAGUAGGUUUUUUGUAUGUUUUUUGUGUUUGUUUUUGGAUGACAUUUGGAUUAUAUUGUACUUUUUAUUAUUACUUUGAAUCGUUUUCAGUUUAACAUCAUUUUUUGGGAGUGAAAUUUGUUUAAAUUUGAAUAUAGAAAGUUUGUAAUUUUUUUAUUUAAAAAAAUUGUAAUUAAAUGGGCUAGUGAGCUAACCCGUUUACCCACCAACCCGUGGUGGAUCGAGCCGGGUUCAGGUUUUUCUGCCUCGCUAAUAAAUGAGCCGGGUUGGGUUGGCUCACUAAGUGACCAACCCGUGGUGGACCGGGUCGGGUCGAGCCGGAUUACCUGUUUUGACAGCUCUAGAAAAUCUUAUAAUAGUCAUGAGAGGAAAACAUUAUUUUUCUAUUAAGAGAGAAGCCUAGGAACUAAGGUAUUAGAAAGGCUUAAAAAAUCUAAAAUUAUUUCGUAAAUUAGAGGUAAGGAGAGUUAUCCCCGUUGAUUAUUUGUAUGAUGUCAUUUUUGUAAUUUUGUAAGUUAAUUGGUGUUGAGUGGUUGCUAUUUUUUUUGUUCCUAUUGUUCACGUUUGGGAAGGGAAUUAGACACUAGUAGAAUCAUGUCUGGAUGUUGAGGCAUGUUUUUUAUUUAUAUUUUUCUUCUUAUAUGAUGGCAUUGGUACAUGAUGAAAACCGCAACCUAAUUUUGACGUGUAUAAUUUAUUUGUUGUUGAGCGAGGCCUACAUGCAAUAAAUACAAGAAAAGACAAAAAAAAGAAAGAGAUGAAACUCAACUUACUCAAAUAGAGAAGCUGAUAGGUCCAAAUUGAAGAGUUUGCUAUCAGAAUCAAUCCUACCGUCUUGGUUCUUCAAUCAGACAAAUAAAAUAUGAGAAUUCUUAAUAAAAAGUCAUAAAACUCUAGAAAAGUAGUUUAUAGAGAGAUAAUUUGUUUUAAAAUAAUUAAACUUAUUUAUAACGAAACUAUUUAUAUUAAAAUCAUUGAAUAUUAAAAUAAUCGAGUUUCAGUAUCUUUAAACAACUAUCAUUUGUAAAAUGCAAAUUUAUAACAUAAUCGUGUAUUGUCUCUAAGUCAAUUUCAUUUAAACAUAUUUAUUUGUAAAAUAAUAGAAUAAAAUCACAUUGCAGGAGCAUACAGCUUGAGAUAAUCUACUGUUCUCAUGUGUAUUGAUAUAAUAUUUUCUCGGAUCACGAUUAUUCUCAAAAUAAAAAUUCUUCCACCAGUAACUUUAUUAGUACAUUAAUCUAAAAUAAUUAGUAAGUAAGAAGUAGAUCAAUCAUUGAGACUCGUCUACCAUGUGUCCACGUGGAAAUAUUAGAGUAUACACAUGGAUCUCUCUUAUAUAUAGCUUACACCUCCACGUUCUACAUGCAUUUCUCAAGGUCAAACACACAAAUUAUAAAAUCCGUGUGGGGAUUUUUAUUUUAUUUUUUAUGUCGUUUUAAAUACAAAAUUAUAUUAUAAAACGAAAUCUGAGUAGAAUUUCAACUCAUAUCUGCACAACGUGAAGUCAAUAUAGGGAACCGGUCGGUAGCUGUAGCUGGGAUCCUCGAUCAUGCAUGCAUUCUUUUAAUAUAUGCAUGUUGGACGUGUAUAUACCUAACUUUCUUUUCUAUCUAUUAUUGUAUCAACAAAUCAAAUAAUGUUUACUCUUUUUAUUUAUAAUUUUUCUUUGAAUUCCAUCUCACACACUCUACUUUCACGUCUACCUUUAUCCUAUAUUAAAUUCACUAAAUUCAUGGUUAAGCUCAAAUGUAAAACCAACCCCAAAUUUCAUAUGGGGAUACAUAUAUAAAAUAAAACAUUAAAAUUAUUUUUUAUGUAUAUUCAAAAUAAUGUAUAGACACUCUUUUGUAUUAUUUUAAAAUAGUUAGCUUUAAAUUUUACAUUGAUUACCACUAAAUAAAUAGACUACGUUUACUAUAUAUAUAUCUCGUGUCAUGUAUAAAUAGUUAUAAACUCUUUUAGUUAAAUAUGUUUUUAGCUUUUCUAAAUUAUAAUUUGUUUCUGUUCCAAAUUUUAAAUUUCAAUAUAUUUUGAUUUUUAAACUUUAAAAAUGAAUAGAUAUAGUUAUUUUAAAUUAAUGAGGUUAAUUUUUUAACAUGUUGAAUGUGUUUUAUUCUUAUAUUUGAGUUAUUUAUUUCAUUUGACAUAUUCUAACUUUCAUAUUAAUUGAAAAACAUGUUUGACACGAAGAAAAAUUUAACAUAAUUGAAUUAAAAUAAUUAGAUUUAUUUAUUUUUAAAGUUUAUAGAUUAAAAUGUAUCAAAUUUACAAACAGAAAGGAAACAAAAAAGACUUCUAAUUUUGUCUUAAAGUUUAGAGACGAAAAAUAUAUUAUAGGUAUCCUAAACUUUUUAGCAUGAGUUAAUUUAUCAUAGUUUUUUAAUUUUAAAAUAUAAUUUUUUUUUUAUUAUUAAAGAAGGUAUAUUAUUGAAAUACAUUUAUUUUUUAUAAUAUUAUUUUACACUACUAGGUUUUAUAUUUUAUCUUUUAUGACUAUUGCUUAUCUUUGGGUGUCUUUUUUUAUUUACUUUAGAGUGGCAUUAAAAUAAAAUUUACAUUUUAUAUUAUAAAUGAUAGCUUAAAUAAAUUCAUUAUUAUUUAAAAAAAUGUAUAUCAUAUUCUAAAUUUAAAACGUCAUAGCCUUUAUAUUAAUGAUAUGAUAAUGGAUUGAAUAUUAAAGAUAAAGCCGAUGGUAUAUAAAAAUUGUUAAAUAUAAAUUCUACAGUAUUUUAUGUGAUUGUGAUAUUGUAAGCUCUUAACACUUAAAUUAAAGAUUAUUUUGGAGUAUUACAACGUAGCGUGCGGAUUAUAUUAUAAAAUCAUAUUUACGAAAAGACCCCAAAAUCAAUUUCGAGAUUGUUUUCUGCCAGCUAGCUACUUUGAACAACCAUUUGCCCCGCCAUUUUUUCUUCACUUUGUUUUUUUGUCCAUCUUACCAUUUUCAGGCCUUUAUAAAUAGACAUGCAUGAGAAUCAAAGCCAUCAAUCAAUCAAUAGCAGAAGCAAAGCUUCACAAGCAAAGCUUCAAACAUGGCUCUGUUGUAUUUUGCUUUGCUCAUUCUCUUCUUUCUCUUUUCUCUUAAGCUUUUCUUCCAAACAAGAAGAUUUAGAAACCUUCCUCCAGGCCCAAUUUCUUUCCCUAUAAUCGGAAACCUCUCCCAACUCAAACAGCCUUACCACCGCACAUUCGCUCAAAUGUCGCAAAAAUACGGCCCAGUCUUCUCUCUCUGGUUCGGUUCCCGACUCGUUGUCGUCCUUACUUCACAAUCCGCCGUGCAAGAAUGCUUCGCCAAAAACGACAUCGUCUUGGCCAACCGACCUCACUUUCUCUUUGGCAAAUACAUCAGCUACAAUAACAGCACCAUCCUUCACUCCUCCUACGGCGACCACUGGCGCCACCUCCGCCGCAUCUUGUCGCUGGAGGUUGUCUCAACGAACCGUUUAAACUCCUUCUACGAGGUCCGAAGGGACGAAAUCAUGAGGCUGGUGCAAAAGCUCGCUAACCUCUCAUCAAACCACUUCACCAAAGUGGAUCUAAAAACCAUGUGAGUUUUCAUCAAGUCAAACAAACUUUNNNNNNNNNNNNNNNNNNNNNNNNNNNNNNNNNNNNNNNNNNNNNNNNNNNNNNNNNNNNNNNNNNNNNNNNNNNAGUGUCUUCAGAAAGUGUAAACUGCUAUUCUUAUAACACUAACUACUAUAUAAAAAUGUUUUUUAUUAUUAAUAUAAUUUUAAGUAAAUUAUAUUAUUGGUCAUGAUUGAAGUUUGCUGAAGUUACACAAAUAUUUUCUGGUGUUUUUAAUACUUAGUAAUCUCACUUGUAAAUAAUACACAAUAUAAUUAUUUCAGAUACAUAAAUGAGGUAUUGUAAUGUGAAAAAUGUGCUUUUAUGAUGUUUCUAAACCAUUGAAGGGUGCUCCAUGCAAAGACAAUAAAAGGAAGUAAGGUAAACAUAGAAUAAAUAAAUAAAUGAGAGAUGGUUAUACAGUUGACAGAACUAAAAAAAACAUGAUAAAACUAAAUAAAACAUGUUUUAUAUUUUUUACAAUUUCUAAUGCUAUAAUAUCUUGUAAUUAAGGUUUAUGGAGACAUCAUUUAACACUAUGAUGAGAAUUGUGUCCGGAAAAAGACUCUUUGGUGAUGACUGUGAUGUGAACGAUGUCGAGAAAGCAAAAGAAUUCAAAGAAAUAAUCAAAGAGUUAGUGAUAUUAGCAGGAGUCAAUAACCGUGGAGACUUCUUGCCUUUCGUGAGAUGGUUUGAUUUUGAUAAUUUGGAGAAAAAGCUAAAAGGAAUUGGUAAGAGAACUGAUGCAUUCNUACAAGAACUCAUCGAAGAGCAUCGUAAUGGAAAAAACAAUGGAAAUACUAUGAUAGAUCAUCUCCUUGCUUUACAACGAUCACAACCUGAACAAUAUACCGACCAAAUCAUCAAAGGACUUUCUCUGGUAAUUAAUCAUUUAUUUAAAUAUGGUGUUUCUCAUUUUUAUGUGUAAAUCACUAUUUUGUUUUUGAAAGUGAUAAAAAUUAACAUGAUGAACAUAGUUAUUCAAAUAAUUACUAGAAAUAUGUGAAUAUUCAAUAUAUAUGUCAAUCAUCAUCACUUAAUCUAAAGUGUAAAUUUAAAUGAUAACUUUAAUACCUUUAUGAGUAUUAAAAAAAACCUUUGUUUAGAUUCAAAAUAAAAAGAAUAAAUUUUUUGGUUAUCUAGUUAUUAAUUUUAAACAAACUAAGAAUGAUCUUUUUCCCUUUUGUUUGUGCAUUAAUACUUCUUUUAUUGAUUUUACAGAGUUUACUACUUGCCGGAACAGAUACAUCAGCUUUAACUUUAGAAUGGACAAUGGCUAAUUUAUUGAAUCAUCCAGAAGUUAUAGAGAAGGCAAAAAAGGAAAUAGAGACUCAUGUAGGAUCAAAUCGUCUUGUAGAGGAAUCUGACAUGUCAAAACUUCCUUACAUUCAAUGCAUUGUUUAUGAGACACUUCGAUUGCAUCCUGCUGCUCCAAUUUGGUCACCACAUUUGUCUUCAAAAGAUUGUAUCGUAGGAAAAUAUAAUCUCCCAAAAGACACAAUUGUGUUGGUGAAUGCAUGGGCUGCUCAUAUGGAUCCAAAAAUGUGGAGUGAGCCAACACACUUUAAGCCUGAAAGGUUUGAGAACGAAAGUGAAGUAAAUAGGUUACUUUCAUUUGGGUUAGGGCGGAGGGCUUGCCCUGGAUCAAACUUGGCUCAACGUACAGUUGGUUUAUCGAUAGCCUUAUUACUUCAAUGUUUUGAGUGGAAACGAAUUGGUAAGGAAGAAAUUGAUAUGUCUGAAGCAAAUGGAAUUACUAUCUCAAGAAAAAAUCCAUUGGAAGCUAUGUGCCAACUCCGUCAAUCACCAACAGUUAAGAACAUGUACUGAUUUAUGACGUUAUUUAAAUAAUAAACGUAUUCGUAAUUUAUGAAGAAUAAAUAUGUAUGCAAUAAGCAUUAUUUAAUCAUUUUGUAGGGGUUGAAGUGAAUGUAUCUCCAUUGUAUGUGAUAUCUUUUAAGUUCUACUUUUACCAUAAAUUAGUAC